RNAcentral lists this ribosomal RNA (253 nucleotides) under uncultured bacterium. RNAcentral describes it as "partial 16S ribosomal RNA". It matches the Rfam family "Bacterial small subunit ribosomal RNA", at positions 524 to 776 of the family's 1533-position model. The record is from RNAcentral.
UACGGAGGGUGCAAACGUUGCUCGGAAUCAUUGGGCGUAAAGCGCACGUAGGCGGCGCGUUAAGUCGGGUGUGAAAGCCCUGGGCUCAACCCAGGAAGUGCAUUCGAAACUGGCGCGCUUGAAUAUGGAAGAGGGUCGCGGAAUUCCCGGUGUAGAGGUGAAAUGCAUUGAGAUCGGAAAGAACACCAACGGCGAAAGCACUCUGCUGGGCCGACACUGACACUGAGAGACGAAAGCUAGGGGAGCAAAUGGG